UAUUCAUUUACACCAAAUUUGG
This 22-nucleotide microRNA is filed under the name Rehmannia glutinosa. Its description in RNAcentral is "rgl-miR7805-3p". The record is from miRBase by way of RNAcentral. Lineage: Eukaryota; Viridiplantae; Streptophyta; Magnoliopsida; Lamiales; Orobanchaceae.